GACGAACCGUACAAACGUUAUUCGGAAUCACUGGGCUUAAAGGGUGCGUAGGCGGCCUGGCAAGUUGGGUGUGAAAGCCCUCGGCUCAACCGAGGAACUGCGCCCAAAACUGCUGGGCUUGAGGAAGACAGAGAUAAGCGGAACUAAGGGUGGAGCGGUGAAAUGCGUUGAUAUCCUUAGGAACACCAGGAGCGAAAGCGGCUUACUGGGUCUUUUCUGACGCUGAGGCACGAAAGCUAGGGGAGCGAACGGGAUUAGAUACCCCGGUAGUCCUAGCCGUAAACGAUGAGCACUGGUUUGGAGGGCCCUCCAUAGCCUUCUGGACGUAGCGAAAGUGUUAAGUGCUCCGCCUGGGGAGUAUGGUCGCAAGGCUGAA
This 376-nucleotide ribosomal RNA is filed under the name uncultured bacterium. Its description in RNAcentral is "bacterial SSU rRNA". It matches the Rfam family "Bacterial small subunit ribosomal RNA", at positions 524 to 898 of the family's 1533-position model. The record is from RNAcentral.